AACGCGAAGAACCUUACCAGCCCUUGACAUCCCGGUCGCGGGUUCCAGAGAUGGGACCCAUCAGUUCGGCUGGACCGGUGACAGGUGCUGCAUGGCUGUCGUCAGCUCGUGUCGUGAGAUGUUGGGUUAAGUCCCGCAACGAGCGCAACCCUCGCCUCUAGUUGCCAGCAUUAAGUUGGGCACUCUAGAGGGACUGCCGGUGAUAAGCCGCGAGGAAGGUGGGGAUGACGUCAAGUCCUCAUGGCCCUUACGGGCUGGGCUACACACGUGCUACAAUGGCGGUGACAGUGGGACGCGGAGGGGUGACCCCGAGCAAAUCUCAAAAAGCCGUCUCAGUUCAGAUUGCACUCUGCAACUCGAGUGCAUGAAGGUGGAAUCGCUAGUAAUCGUAGAUCAGCAUGCUACGGUGAAUACGUUCCCGGGCCUUGUA
This 430-nucleotide ribosomal RNA is filed under the name uncultured Alphaproteobacteria bacterium. RNAcentral's name for it is "bacterial SSU rRNA". It matches the Rfam family "Bacterial small subunit ribosomal RNA", at positions 958 to 1385 of the family's 1533-position model. Lineage: Bacteria; Pseudomonadati; Pseudomonadota; Alphaproteobacteria. The record is from RNAcentral.